RNAcentral lists this ribosomal RNA (372 nucleotides) under uncultured eukaryote. RNAcentral describes it as "partial 18S ribosomal RNA". It matches the Rfam family "Eukaryotic small subunit ribosomal RNA", at positions 592 to 975 of the family's 1831-position model. The record is from RNAcentral.
CAAUAGCGUAUAUUAAAGUUGUUGCAGUUAAAAAGCUCGUAGUUGAAUUUUUGCUUGCCGCCGAUGUCGGAACUUCCGUCCGUUCGGCGGCGUGCAUCCUUGGGUGGAACCUGUGUGGCAUUAGGUUGUCGUGCAGGGGAUGCUCAUCGUUUACUGUGAAAAAAUUAGAGUGUUCAAAGCAGGCUUACGCCGUUGAAUAUAUUAGCAUGGAAUAAUAAGAUAGGACCUUGGUACUAUUUUGUUGGUUUGCGCACCGAGGUAAUGAUUAACAGGGACAGUUGGGGGUAUUCGUAUUCCAUUGUCAGAGGUGAAAUUCUUGGAUUUCUGGAAGACGAACUACUGCGAAAGCAUUUACCAAGGAUGUUUUCAUUA